RNAcentral lists this long non-coding RNA (2853 nucleotides) under Mus musculus (house mouse). Its description in RNAcentral is "predicted gene, 32817, transcript variant 26 (Gm32817)". Lineage: Eukaryota; Metazoa; Chordata; Mammalia; Rodentia; Muridae. The record is from RNAcentral.
AGUCCCGGCUAGGGACACAGCUCUUAGACUUUGAGCUAGACAACCAGGAGGACAGGAGGACCUAGUAUCCUGCCUCCAUCAGCCCAUCAUUUAUGCAAAUGCUACUUAGUUGCCGUCUAGAUGCAGGAUGCUGUCUGCCCUGUUAAAUGCUGUGUGAACCCAGAUGGAAGCUGAGCAGACAUCACACUCGUGAGCAGCUCCCCUUCCUGUGAGCAUCUCCCCUUCCUGUUUCAGGCUGGCCUUGAACUUACAGGGAUUCACCUGCCUCUGCCUCCCAGAUGCUGAGAUUAAAGGCAUGUGCCAUCACCACCUGAACAACAGCAGCUUUCUAAGGAACCAGUAAGGCACUACAGACUUUUCAUAUAACAUCACCUUCAUUCUCUCACAACUAAUUCUACAAAACAGAUGUUAUACGACCUCGUUCGCUGAAGUCAAAGAUGCAGAGGGGCCAAGGUGUGGGCUCCGGACCUCACACCAGUGUGGCAGAUUCAACAAGCCCAGAAUAAGCCUCUUCCUUUGCUCACAAUAAGAUUAAGCCAACUGCCUCUUCAUUCCUCAGUCACACUCCUCCUCUGACCCUGCUCCAGGAGGCUCAUCUUGUCAGACUUCACACUGAAUGAGCGCUGAGGAUGCUGUAGAGUAUGAGCUGUGUGCAGGUUUCAAAAGCAAUUUGUGCCCCUGAAACAAGCCAACCAGCAGAGAAGGAACAAAAGAAACAUGGUGUCUUCUACCUCCAGCCUUGAAGCUUCCAGACCUCCCUACACGAACCCCCCCCCCACACCCACUCCCCGAAAUGAUGUCCCAGUGAAGAGCCAGGCUCUUAUCCUUCCAUCCAUGCCUCUCAGGCGUCUGCUUCAUUUAGCAUGUAUGUGCAUUUUACCAGGUUAAUGCAACACAGACUAUUUCCUAGUAGCUGUGAAGCCCAGUGUAGCCUCUGCUGCCGGACACAUGGUUUGUCUCCAGUCUUUCCCUUCCCAGCAAAGCAGCCUUGACUCAUCUCCUUUCUCUAUGACAGAGCCCUUUAGAAUGUACUCACUGGGCCAACGAUGCAGUUUCAAUUUGGGUUUUUAAUGGAAGUGGGUGGCUAGGUAAGUGGGUUGAAUGACUGACUGAUUCUGAAUAGCUCUGAAUUUAUUGAGCUGCUUCCAGGAAGGUCCAGGUGACCUGGGUAGCAGAAAGGACACCCAUUCCUGUUUGAUGGUGUUUUUUUUCUAUCUAUCAUCCUUCCUGUCUUUCCUUCUUUAUUUCUUUCUGGGUGAGACAGGGUCUUAUAAUACAGUUUCAGCCAGCCUGGAACUCAUUAUGUAAACCAGGCUGGUCUCCAGCUCAUGGAGAUGAGCCUGCCUUUGCUUCCCAUGUACUGAAAUUAAAGCCCAGCUUGUUUUUUUCUCUUUACCACACUGGGGAUUCAACCCAAGGCUAGUAAGCACCCUGGCACUGAGUAUAUUCUGGACCUCUUCUUAUUUUAAUGUUGAUGUAGGGUCCUGCUAAGUUUCCCAGACUGACCUUCAACUCACUAUGCAAGUCCAGGCAGGCCUUGAACUCACGAUCCUCCUGGUUCAGCUUCCUGAGCUGAUGAGUGGCAGGCACCAUUAGUCUCAUUCGGAAGGAUGUGCUUCAUCCUUGGUGAAAGCGCUCAUCUCUUGUCUUGGCUGGCUAGAAUUUCCAGGGUGAAGAAAGGAGGAUUAGAAAAGUUCAAGGUCACCCUCCCCUACAUAGAGAGUUCAAGGCCAGGCUGGGCCACAUGAGAAAAACCAAAAGAACAGAUGGUGUUAGCAGGAGGUAGGGAAGGAGUAGGGAGGUCCAGCCCUGGGUGGGGCAGAGCCCCUGCUAAAGACAAGGGACAUUCCUUAGUGUCAACUUUCCCUUAGGAUGGAGAGGAGGGGUUGCUAGCUCGUCACACCCCACAGCCCUGGAGGACAGGAGCUUACUGUUGAGUUAGUGGGGCAGAGUCGGGGAGAGGCUGUCAUUUCGGCAGCCCUGGUACAUGGAGCCACUAGCAGGCUUCUUCGUCUCAUGUCUUCAUCCGCACCACCUCCUAGCAGCCUGCCCUCCCCAACUUGUCCACUUAAAGCCUGGGCCAGUGAGAUGACUCUGCAGAUAAAGGUAUUGUCACCCAGCCUGAGGACCUGAGUUCAAUUUCUGGGUUCCAUAUGAUGGAAGGAGAGAACUGAGUCCCUUAACUUGAUCUCUAACCUGCACAUGUGGAUUGUGAAUGGGCUUAUGUGCCCACACACCCUCUCUCUCACACAAUAAACAUAAGUAAUAAAUGUAUACAUGCAUAUACACAUACAUAAUACACACAUACAUACAUGCUUGAAUGCAUACAUACGUUCGUAUGUAUGUCCUUGCCACUCUCUUGGAACCUGACUCCUACAGAAUGUAACCUUGAUUUGUGCUCCAGGCUCACUUGACACCUGGCUUCUGUGGCUUGUUCGAGUCCUCUGUCUCCCAGACAAUGAGCUAGGAUUCUGGUCAUUCAGGUUCAGCCUGGGUGCAGAGAGUUUUGAGUGGGCCUGUCCACUGGAGACCACUCCUCUCGUCACCCAUGAAGCAUCUAAAGUUAAGUAUGAUGGUGCAGACCUGGAAUCCCAGAAUUCAGGAGGUGGGGGCAGGGAUUUCUAAACUCAGAAGUCAGCCUGAGCUAUCUAGAGAGAUGCUGUUUCAAAAAUUUAAAACAGCCGGGUGUGGUGGCACACGCCUUUAAUCCCAGCACUCGGGAGGCAGAGGUAGGCGGAUUUCUGAGUUCGAGGCCAGCCUGGUCUACAAAGUGAGUUCCAGGACAGCCAGGGAUAUACAGAGAAACCCUGUCUCGAAAAACCAAAAAUAAAAAAUAAAUAAAACAAAACCGAA